GAUGAACGCUGGCGGCGUGCCUAAUACAUGCAAGUCGAGCGAACGGACGAGAAGCUUGCUUCUCUGAUGUUAGCGGCGGACGGGUGAGUAACACGUGGAUAACCUACCUAUAAGACUGGGAUAACUUCGGGAAACCGGAGCUAAUACCGGAUAAUAUUUUGAACCGCAUGGUUCAAAAGUGAAAGACGGUCUUGCUGUCACUUAUAGAUGGAUCCGCGCUGCAUUAGCUAGUUGGUAAGGUAACGGCUUACCAAGGCAACGAUGCAUAGCCGACCUGAGAGGGUGAUCGGCCACACUGGGACUGAGACACGGUCCAGACUCCUACGGGAGGCAGCAGUAGGGAAUCGUCCGCGAUGGGCGAAAGCCUGACGGAGCAGCGCCGCGUGAGUGAUGAAGGUCUUCGGGUCGUAAAACUCUGUUAUUAGGGAAGAACAUAUGUGUAAGUAACUGUGCACAACUUGACGGUACCUAAUCAGAAAGCCACGGCUAACUACGUG
Molecule: ribosomal RNA, 497 nt
Filed under: uncultured bacterium
Lineage: Bacteria
Description: partial 16S ribosomal RNA
Rfam family: Bacterial small subunit ribosomal RNA
Source: RNAcentral